Molecule: non-coding RNA, 73 nt
Organism: Myotis brandtii (Brandt's bat)
Lineage: Eukaryota; Metazoa; Chordata; Mammalia; Chiroptera; Vespertilionidae
Source: Rfam
CAGGGUGAGGCUUCAUAGUUAAAAGCAUGGAUUCUGGAGCCAGACUGUCUGGGUUUGAAUCCCAGCUCCUUGA